Molecule: ribosomal RNA, 294 nt
Filed under: uncultured prokaryote
Description: partial 16S ribosomal RNA
Rfam family: Bacterial small subunit ribosomal RNA
Source: RNAcentral
UGAGGAAUAUUGGUCAAUGGGCGCAAGCCUGAACCAGCCAUCCCGCGUGAAGGAAGAAUGCGCUAUGCGUUGUAAACUUCUUUUCCAGGGGAAUAAAAUUUCGUACGAGUACGGGACUGACGGUACCUUGGGAAUAAGCAUCGGCUAACUCCGUGCCAGCAGCCGCGGUAAUACGGAGGAUGCGAGCGUUAUCCGGCUUUAUUGGGUUUAAAGGGUGCGUAGGCGGAAAAAUAAGUCAGUGGUGAAAGCCUUCAGCUUAACUGGAGACUUGCCAUGGAUACUGUUAUGCUUGAG